This 885-nucleotide long non-coding RNA is filed under the name Marmota monax (woodchuck). The record is from RNAcentral. Lineage: Eukaryota; Metazoa; Chordata; Mammalia; Rodentia; Sciuridae.
UCACCUGGGGCUCAGAGCCGUGGAGUCAGCCAUCUCUGGACUGAAACCUUGGGCCCCUAAUAGCUUCUCUACCUCUAAAAUUGUUGUUGUCAGGUCUUCUGGUCACAGCAGUGAAAAAGUGAGUAAAACGUGCACUGAUGAUACUCCCUGGAGCCUAAUCCAGGGAGACCGUGGGGAGUUAUGAACAGUUUUAAGCUGGGUGCUAUGAUGCAUAUCUGUAAUCCCAGCGACUCAGGAGGCUGAGGCAGGAGAAUCUCAAGUUCAAGGCCAGUGUCAGCAACUUAGCAAGACCCUGUCUCAAACAAUACAAAGGGUUGGGAAUGUAGUUCAGUGGUAGAGUACUUUCCUAGCAUAUGUCAGGCCCUGGGUUCCAUAUGCCAGUGCAGGAGAAAAAAACAAAUCUAGUAUAUGUAGAAAGACCAUCUUCAUAGAUAAGACGUCAUGUACCUCCGUUAAAGAAUUUCCAUGGCUGCUUUUGCCCCAGUGGAUCAGUAAGAGCAUCUAUAGAUAAACCCCUCAAUAUCAGCCUUAUCCAUUCAACUUACUGUAAUCACUGUCAUUGACAAAUGGUCAUCCCUCCCACAAUCCCCAGCCCUAAUUUUGAAAGUAUAGGAGACUGUUCCUCUCAAAGACUUGAGAAAGAUGUUCUAUGCUGGUGUCUGGGUCAUGGUUUCAUUGUCUACAUGGAAGGGUUCUGCUUGUGGACCAGUGCCAUCCACAUAGCUUCUCUGUGGAGAUCUUCACCCAUCUGCUGGGAUUCCUGUGAUCACCAUCUCUUUUGACUUUUUCUAAAUUUUUUUUUGAUGUCUGGGGCCCUGUGGUUGGGGCCCUUCACCCCAAUAUGGCUCUACCACCUAAAGGGUCCAUAUUGUAGGUGCCUUAUCU